CACUCCUGCGGGAGGCAGCAGUGGGGAAUUUUGGACAAUGGGCGAAAGCCUGAUCCAGCCAUGCCGCGUGCAGGAUGAAGGCCUUCGGGUUGUAAACUGCUUUUGUACGGAACGAAACGGCCUUUUCUAAUAAAGAGGGCUAAUGACGGUACCGUAAGAAUAAGCACCGGCUAACUACGUGCCAGCAGCCGCGGUAAUACGUAGGGUGCAAGCGUUAAUCGGAAUUACUGGGCGUAAAGCGUGCGCAGGCGGUUAUGUAAGACAGUUGUGAAAUCCCCGGGCUCAACCUGGGAACUGCAUCUGUGACUGCAUAGCUAGAGUACGGUAGAGGGGGAUGGAAUUCCGCGUGUAGCAGUGAAAUGCGUAGAUAUGCGGAGGAACACCGAUGGCGAAGGCAAUCCCCUGGACCUGUACUGACGCUCAUGCACGAAAGCGUGGGGAGCAAACAGGAUUAGAAACCCUUGUAGUCCCAUG
RNAcentral lists this ribosomal RNA (474 nucleotides) under uncultured organism. Its description in RNAcentral is "partial 16S ribosomal RNA". It matches the Rfam family "Bacterial small subunit ribosomal RNA", at positions 334 to 799 of the family's 1533-position model. The record is from RNAcentral.